UCCUUUCUUACACCCCUAGGCAUUUAAAACUCUUUGUCCUAAUCUAAUGAGAACUCUCAAACUUCAAGUCUCACUUGGAGAUUAGGUUUAAUUAAUUUGAAUCAAAUUUAAACUCCUUAUGCCAUAAGGAAAACCCAAACCAUGUACGAAUGGCAUCAACACUUGGCACCAUUUAAUAGCUUACACCCAAGGGGAUUGGGCAUCCAACAUUAGGCACCAAAUCUGCCCAUUUGGUCAUCCAUAAUGAGAGAU
Molecule: long non-coding RNA, 252 nt
Filed under: Elaeis guineensis (African oil palm)
Lineage: Eukaryota; Viridiplantae; Streptophyta; Magnoliopsida; Arecales; Arecaceae
Description: long non-coding RNA (EGUI_LNC049413)
Source: RNAcentral